GCAAGGGGUUCGUCCCCGGCUAUGGCGAUAAACGGUAAGUGAAAUAAGUG
RNAcentral lists this non-coding RNA (50 nucleotides) under Drosophila ananassae. Lineage: Eukaryota; Metazoa; Arthropoda; Insecta; Diptera; Drosophilidae. The record is from RNAcentral.